CAGGGAGACAUAAACUGAUUAUGAUGUCUGAUUUAUAAAUUUAGGCCGUAAUCUGUCGCUUUAGGUCGAUCGGUACCUCAGAUUAUUAACUGUGAAAUUGAGAAAUCACUUAUCAUUAGUCUUUUAAUUUCAGUUCCUAAACUGUCUAGGUCACACCCAACAAACUUUCUCCUGGGCUAUUAGCUCAGGCGGUUAGAGCGCACCCCUGAUAAGGGUGAGGUCCCUGGUUCAAGUCCAGGAUGGCCCAUUCGGUGUUGGGGGUUUAGCUCAGUUGGUAGAGCGCCUGCUUUGCAAGCAGGAUGUCAGCGGUUCGAGUCCGCUAACCUCCACUGACCAAAACCUCCAGGCAUAAAGCUGAUGGAGGUAAUUCUUGUGAGAGGUGAUCUAGAGAUUAGAUUGUGUUGAUCUGGUAGAACCCAGCUUCCUUUCAUUUCAGAACUCAGCAAUGAUGAACAACAUUGUUUGAGAGUUGGUUGAAACGAUGCUGGGCUCACUGUGAUUCGAAAGAAUUGCAGAGAUGUUCAGCAGAACCUUGACAACUGCAUAGGUGUGUCUGGAAAGAAUAAAGCAUCUCAUGGAUGCAUUAUUCUUGCUUUUUCUUAUUGAGAAGAAGUCAAGAAUAGUGUUUAAAUUCUUGAGUCAAGAGCCGAGACUCCAUAACGUUCUUUUGAUGAUGUCGAGUCAUUAAGAGUUUGAUUGAUGAUUCAAUCCAAACUUAAGUUUUCAGGAGCUAUUGACUUAGCGAUUGAGCUUAAAAAAGGAGAAUCAUUGAGAAUAUGUGUUCAACCACAUCAAGCGUGAUGGAGAUUAAUU
This 813-nucleotide transfer RNA is filed under the name uncultured cyanobacterium. RNAcentral's name for it is "partial 16S-23S ribosomal RNA intergenic spacer". The stretch from base 257 to 329 matches the Rfam family "tRNA". The record is from RNAcentral. Lineage: Bacteria; Bacillati; Cyanobacteriota.